GCCAUAUUAUAGUAUUAAUAAUAAAUAGAAUAAAAUUAAAAAUUAAAAAAAUUUAUAAUCUCAAAAUGUUCAAUAUUAGGACAAAAAAAACAUAUUGUUGAUACAUAUUCAUCAAUUGGAGUUUGACCACUAUUAUAUUUAUUAAUUAAAUGUUGAAACGUUUUGCGUUUAUUUUUUGUUUUAGAAUUUUGGUAUUUAAAGGGUUCAUUAAUUAUACUAUUUAGUUUAAUAUAUGUUUCUAUUUAAACUUCAUUUAACUUUUCUAAGAACAUGAAAAUAUUUGGAUGACUAGUAUAAAAGUUAGAAUCAAAGUGAGAAUGAAAUGACUCGAAUGCAUUAGUGGCUAUAAAGUUGGUUCUGCUGAUGCUUGAGCCCAUAUUUCAGGUGAAUACUGAGUUUCUUUACUUAUAAUAAUAAUAAUAAAAAUAAUUGUUUAUUCAAUGAAUAAAAUAUAUACAUCUACCAAAUAAAUUCGGAGCAGUUUACAUUAUACCCUUUUAACAUAGAUAACAAUUUGGGCGCGGUUACAAUAUACCUUUUUGAACAUAGAUGAAAAUUCGGGUUCUGUUUACAAAAAAAAGGUCAUUUGGGUGUAAUUUACGUAUGCCCAAGUAUUCAGGCCGUAGCAUAUUGAUAUAAAUAAUACCUUUGACGCGCGUUACAUAAUAAUGAUAAGUAGAUUUAUAACAAUAAAAUUAUAGUUGAUAGACACUGUCACACUGAUGAUACUAUAUUAUAUAAAAUCAAUCUUUGCUCGUAUAGAUACCGCACGAAAGCGUUCGCGUUCAAGAGCUGAUGACAAAAUAACAAUAAUGAUAUUUCCAGUGUUUUGAUUUAACUUAAACAACAAACACGAAUAUUAUAUGAUUUUAUAUAAUACCAUGUUUUGUUAAGCAACGCGUUUUGUAAAUGUUUGAUACGGAAAAUAAAAUACAUUAUCGUAUUAUAUUUAAACAGUGAUAAUGCUGAUGACUUCAUCUGUGCAUUAUUUAAUUUCAGCAUAAUUUUAUAAUAUUCAACCCAAACACGCCGGUCGGAUUACAUUAAUAAUUGUACCUACAUUAAUAUGAGUGAAUAUAGUGUUCUUAAUUUUUUUUUUACCUCACAAUCAAGGUCGCCCGAACACUAUUAUACGGCUUUCGAAAGAGUAUAGGGUCAUUUAAUAUCAAUUGUACGUCAACAAAGGAUGGUAUUCGCGGGUUAUAUAUAGGUAUAUUUCAUUACCUCACGCGGGAAGAUAUUGUUAUUAUUAUUAUAAUGUUGUCCAGUCGACCGGUGACGAAUGCGGUGGAGACGGGGUCGGAUUGAACGAAAAUAGGUGGUAGUACACGUUAAAGUAUGCAAACACAUUGUUGACAUAUUUACUAAUUUUUUAACUAAGAUCCGACAUAAAUUACCAGUCCACCAGGCCGUAAUAUGAUUUAGGCCGAAAUUCCAAUUUUCAGAUCGGUCAAACUAUGGAAAAAAAAUCGUUCUCCGCGAACAAUGAUGACUUUUGAUCGCUGUCAUUCUUUCGUUUAAAAAACAGUUAGACAUUCGGACGAUAUAUUAUAUAACAAUAAAAUAAUAUCAAAAUGUCCCUCGAAAACCACAGCGCUCGAGAUAAUGCAUAAAUAAAUCAAACACCGUCCGCGUAUUAUAAAACAAUUUAAUAAAAUAUAAUAAUAUACGAACCAACCGAAAUUCCUUUUCGCGCGCAUGGCGUAUGUUCAAGGGCGCAUUGGUUUCAAUAAAAAUUUGUCACUACACGGAGCAUUUUUUUUUUUUUUUAUUGUACACCGUUUGUAUUGUACCUAUAUAUGUGCACAUAAAUAUAUAAUGGCAUUAUGCUCGGUGUUCAUAACCACUUGCAGAUAAAUGAGGAUUAAUGAUUUUUAAAUUGCGGUACGCGUACGACUGCAGAUAGGUACCUUUACGCGAACAUACCAAAAAUAUUAAUUAAUAAUAUAACGUACAGCUGCACCACGCGGUAAGGCCGCCAAAAAGACGACGACUCGUGCCAGAAGGGCGUCAAUCGGUCUCGUGCACAAAAUAAUAUUUUAAUUUAUAAAGCAUAUUAUAGAACGACGACGGCGGUAAUCGUAUUAUGAUUAUAAUAAUAUUUUGUUUGUUGUUUUCGUUAAGUUUUUCGAACCGACAAGUUAUAUUCGCCGUUGGCUACUCCACCGCGCACACAGUGUUACUAAACUUAUGGAACCGUAGAGUAAGCAUUUAUAUUAAUAAGUAAUGACCGAUUUAUAAAAUGCUUUUGUAAGACUUUAAAGCAGCGGUAGACAGUUAAAUUCUAAAUACAUCCAAAUACAAGAUAAAAAUAGAUCAAAUAUAAAUAUUGAAAUAUCUAUUAUGCGUGGAAAACAGCAUUAAAAAAAAAAAUGAUAUUCUUGGCGGUCCAGUCAUUUGCAUUUCACGGGCAGGAUUUGGCCCGCAGGCUGUCUAUGGCCGGCACCGACCCCUGCUUUAAAGUGUUAGCUCAUAUAACUUCUAAAUACUCGACAUUAAUUUUUCUCAAAACCAUUCAUCUCUAGAGUUUUGUGGCAUAAUAAUUAACCGUUCUAUUAUAAUAUUAUUAUCUUUCAAUGUUUGACAUCGAUUUAAAUAAUCCAAAUGAGUUGAGCUGCAGCCUACUUGAUAACACAAAUUACAAUAGAUAGUAGUGGAUACAUUCUGAUAUAUCCUAGAACUACAAACCGAAUUCGUCCUAGGCUAAGUAUAAUAACCUGAAAUAGUGUCGCGAUUCGCAUAGUACGCAUUAAAACGUUCGGCUUGAUACGAGCGCCUGUUUAUCGGUGUAAAUAAAAUAAUAAUUAUCAACCGGUUAUGUCGGAGCUCGGAGGUUAUAAUAUUAUUACCACGAUAAAUAAUUAUUAAAUAUAGGUACAUAUUAGGUUAUAUUUAGAGGCUGAUUAAUAAGUUUACAAAUAUAUUAACUUUUCGAGCACACAAGUCCGAUAAAAUGAGCCAUGAAAGUUGGUAAUCGACUUUUGAGAGGUCACUUGGCCGAUAAUGCGUUAUAUCUGUACCAAACUCGCGUAUUGUACGGUUUCAAGUUUGUCCUCAAUUUAGCUCGGAAUCGCAUACAACUAAAUUGCCUUUGUACAAAUACUGUGUAGUGUGCACUAUCGUUUGGCGGUCGAUAGCGAUAUCAGUUAUUUUUAAUUCUCGUUCGUUUUGCCUUUUGUCACAAAGCAUCAUCGACAGCUGAACGUAGUGGUAUAAAAUAAUUAAACAUUAUUUAUAGUGAUUACUGCUCGCGUGGGUCGAUAAAAAGAGUUUUCUCGCAAAAGCCCCCGCAGAUAUAAUACAGGUCAACUAUGUCCAUUGUGUACAUAACGACUAACAUGUUAUAAUAAUUAUAGGAUCCGAUCGAUCAAACUUUCAAGUUAAGUCACGGAUUAACAAUUCAAAUUUUUUGUGAGCGACUUUAGGAAUUCGGGAACAUUUUAGGAGCCAUCGAAAAAACGUAAAUGUAAAAUCAAAAAAAAAAUUAAAAAAUGUCUGUGAGCCAGAUAAGGUUUGCCGUCUGGCUGCAAUUUGGUGACCUCUUAACUAAGGUCUACACGCUUACGACUAAUUUAAAUUGAACUCAUACUUAGUAUAAUAUACAACACAAUAUCCUCUGCACGCGCGACGAUAUAAUAUAAUAUUAUAUAAUGUUAUAAAUUGGAAUACAAUAAUACCGUUUUUCGUACUCUGAGCAAUUGUUAUGCGUGUGCAAGUAGGUACAAUGCACAUCACGGUACAGUAUAAGAAUAAGACACACCAGUGGCGGAAAAUAGGUAGGCAUACAAAUUAAUCAUCAAUGACGUAAACGGACAGUAUUUAUAAAGCGGUAAUAUUGUGAAUAGGUAUUAAUGUUAUAUUUUAUAAUAUUAUUAUGACGAUUUAUAUAACUCUGUUCAUACAAUAUUUUACAAAUCGUACACUCGCUGCACGUAAUAGUAUCUAUACCUAAUCAGUACCGGUUUUGUCUUCAGGGGGAGGGGGGGUUGAUAUGUAAUACUAUCAUGGUACAAAGAAACUCAUCCUCUUGUCGAAGUCUUUAAUUUUUACCUAUUUAUGUCAAAAAUAAUUAACCAAGGCCAAGGACCCCUCCACCCCCCCACAAUGGUGUUGUAUCCCUCGAAACCAUCACCGAGUAUAAUAUAGUACUUGACAAAUACGUAUUCUAUGUUUCUAUGUCAUAAAUAUUAUAAUAACAAAUUAAUAUAAUUUAUCUAUUCACUGACAAUACGAUGGGACGUCCAAGUAAUCUGUUUUUUGCCUGUGG
This 4267-nucleotide long non-coding RNA is filed under the name Acyrthosiphon pisum (pea aphid). RNAcentral describes it as "uncharacterized LOC115033664". Lineage: Eukaryota; Metazoa; Arthropoda; Insecta; Hemiptera; Aphididae. The record is from RNAcentral.